RNAcentral lists this ribosomal RNA (1794 nucleotides) under Pseudococcomyxa simplex. RNAcentral describes it as "bacterial LSU rRNA". It matches the Rfam family "Bacterial large subunit ribosomal RNA", at positions 806 to 2634 of the family's 2925-position model. The record is from RNAcentral. Lineage: Eukaryota; Viridiplantae; Chlorophyta; Trebouxiophyceae; Chlorellales; Oocystaceae.
GAGCUGUGGUUAGGGGAGAAAUUCCAAUCGAAUUCAGAGCUAGCUGGUUCUCCCCGAAAUGCGUUGAGGCGCAGCGGUAACGAUGAGCUGUCUAGGGGUAGAGCACUGUUUCGAUACGGGCUGCGAAAGCGGUACCAAGUCGUGGCAAACUCCGAAUACUAGACAUUGCCUUCCGUAAACCAGUGAGACAGUGGGGGAUAAGCUUCAUUGUCAAGAGGGAAACAGCCCAGAUCACCAGCUAAGGCCCCUAAAUGGCCGCUAAGUGGAAAAGGAUGUGAGAAUGCACAUACAACCAGGAGGUUUGCUUAGAAGCAGCCACCCUUUAAAGAGUGCGUAAUAGCUCACUGGUAAAGCGUUCUUGCGCCGAUAAUGGCCGGGACUAAGCGGCCUGCCGAAGCUGUGGGAUUUUUUUUUAAAAAUCGGUAGGGGAGCGUCCUACAUAGGGUGAAGCAAUCGCGUAAGCGUUUGUGGACAGUGUGGGAGUGAGAAUAUUGGCUUGAGUAACGAAAACAUUGGUGAGAAUCCAAUGCCCCGAAAACCUAAGGGUUCCUCCACAAGGUUCGUCCAUGGGGGGUGAGUCAGGACCUAAGGCGAGGCCGAACGGCGUAGUCGAUGGCAAACAGGUUAAUAUUCCUGUACUCAUUAUUGUGGGGACCGAGGGACGGAGAAGGCUAAAUUGUAGCUGUGUAUGGAAUGCAGCGGAAGCGUUCAAGACGUCGAUAGGUCGAAUAAAAACGACUCUAGAGUUAAGGCGUGAUCCCAUUCACCGGAACUUGUUCCGGAUGGAUGUCAAUGAUGUCAUACUCCCAAGAAAAGCUCGUACACUAUAUACACAAUAAUGACCUGUACCAGAAACCGACACAGGUAGGUAGGUAGAGAAUACUAAGGGGCGCGAGAGAACUCUCUCUAAGGAACUCGGCAAACUAGCCCCGUAACUUCGGAAGAAGGGGUGCCUGAGCAAUCAGGUUGCAGUUAAGAGGCUUAACAUACUGAGCCCCUAAAGUUUGGGAUUUUCUUCUAAACUUUUUGAACACUAGGUGAAUUGCAAGAACGAUAGAGUUGAAUUUCUUUUUCACACUCAAUUCUGAUUUGCAGCGUAAAAAACGGUCCUAAGGUAGCGAAAUUCAUUGUCGAGUAAGUUUCGACCUGCACGAAAGGCGUAACGAUCAGAGCGCUGUCUCAGAGAGAGACUCGGUGAAAUAGACAUGUCCGUGAAGAUGCGGACUACUAACACUUGGACAGAAAGACCCUAUGAAGCUUGACUGUAGUCUGGAAUGGAAUUCGGGCUUUUCUUGCGCAGUCUAGGUGGGAGGCGUUGAAGAUUUCCUUCCGGGGAAGUUGGAGCCAUCAGUGAGAGACCACUCUGGUAAGGCUAGAAUUCUAAUGGCGAUCCUUGAAUCAGGACGCUUGACAGUUUCAGAUGGGCAGUUUUCCUGGGGCGGGAACCUCCUAAAAAGUAACGGAGGUGCGCAAUGGUUCCCUCAGUCUGGACGGAAAUCAGACAUUGAGUGUAAAGGCAAAAGGGAGCUUGACUGUGAGACCUACAAGUCAAACAGGGGCGAAAGCCGGCCUUAGUGAUCCGACGGUUCUGUGUGGAAAGGCCGUCGCUCAACGGAUAAAAGUUACUCUAGGGAUAACAGGCUAAUCUUCUCCAAGAGUUCACAUCGACGAGAAGGUUUGGCACCUCGAUGUCGGCUUAUCACAUCCUGGGGCUGUAGUAGGUCCCAAGGGUUGGGCUGUUCGCCCAUUAAAGUGGUACAUGAGCUGGGUUCAGAACGUCGUAAGACAGUUCGG